GGGGGUGCACUGGCUUCGACGGGGGUCGCGAAAUCGCUUGGCGCAUGCCGAGGGGGUAGCUUUCCUCGUAAAUCCAGCUGCAAACUUUUAGUUGCCAACGACGACAACUACGCACUGGCCGCUUAAGGCCUAAGCCCCGAAACCGCUUGUGUCCGUGCUCGCGAUGUAGGGUCAUUUAUCACGGAAUCGCCGGGAGUGGCUGCCUGCCAGCACCCGGUUAACACACAGCAGGCUGGUCCGCCGAUGCGCUUUGCGCACCGUGCUGUCGGUGGAUGAGAUCCAACGGUGAGCUAAGCAUGUAGUGCCGGGGAUGGAGUGCCUUCGGACGGGGGUUCAAUUCCCCCCACCUCCACCA
Molecule: transfer-messenger RNA, 355 nt
Filed under: Lysobacteraceae
Lineage: Bacteria; Pseudomonadati; Pseudomonadota; Gammaproteobacteria; Lysobacterales
Also listed under: 1 other name
Description: Lysobacter_C spongiicola Standard tmRNA
Rfam family: transfer-messenger RNA
About the family: Bacterial tmRNA, also known as 10Sa RNA or SsrA, is named for its dual tRNA and mRNA-like properties. Its role is to liberate the mRNA from a stalled ribosome.
Source: RNAcentral